UUGCUUAUUUUGCAUGCUGUGACAUAUAUUUUUCUUCGAUUCGGCAUACAAUGUUCUCCCUUUCUUUAUCCUUCAUCCAACAUUAUUCGGCUUUAGUCUGGCCUGUAUCCUCUUCUAUCCAUCUCACUAAACGUGCUCGACGUCAUCACUCAUCUGACGUCAUGUCCAUCUACCGCAACUCUUCGGCUAACAUCUGAUGACAUCAUCUGCUGUCAUCAACGUCACGUCAUCCGUCAUUGACGUCACACGUCACAUCUCGUCUGAUGUCAUAAUCGUGUCUACUCUGACGUCCUGCUUCAACUCAUCUGACGUCAUACUCCAACCCAUCUGACGUCACACAUCACCUCUCAUCCGACAUCACUCGCCUGCUCUACCCUUGGCGCGGUGCUCUCGUCAGUUCUCUGCCUGGUUCAGCCGCCUCACCAGUCCGUCUGCCUCCAAUACGUGUGACGGGGACGUCAGAACACAGGCCGUCAUCGAGUCCGUCCGUUAGACCGGAUGUCAGUGCAGCGUCGGUCGUCGCGACGAGGCGGAGGGAAUCGCUGAAGCACUGGGGGAGCCAGGGUGACCUGGACACAGCCUCCAUGAGCCGACGGUCAUCCCUCCUGUUAGACCUUCGUGAACAUGACCGACGCAACAGACGCAAACAGUCUCGAGUGCAGACCGAUGAUGAGUUCGACCCCAGCCAUCUACCGACAGUCAGCAAAACGAAAACCAGGUCGACGCGGAGAAGGACGUCGCUCUCGACACGAGAGAACAGCGUCAAAACAUUACCAUCUGUGAAGAACAGCCGCCUCUCUCGACGCCAGAGUACACAGCAGCGACGCUCAAAGUCGGAGGACCGCCAGAGAAAACAGUCCAUCGUCAGCUUCACACUCGGGCGCUAGGGACUGAGGGUCGUACGCCGUCAAUAAGAUGGUUCUUUCUUCUAUCCAGGGCUGACUUUACUUGGA
Long non-coding RNA from Amphibalanus amphitrite, 953 nucleotides. RefSeq lists it as uncharacterized. Lineage: Eukaryota; Metazoa; Arthropoda; Thecostraca; Balanomorpha; Balanidae. The transcript is spliced from 4 exons. The record is from RefSeq and is a predicted model, not a curated record.